RNAcentral lists this ribosomal RNA (404 nucleotides) under uncultured bacterium. Its description in RNAcentral is "partial 16S ribosomal RNA". It matches the Rfam family "Bacterial small subunit ribosomal RNA", at positions 28 to 526 of the family's 1533-position model. The record is from RNAcentral.
GACGACCGCUGGCGGCGUGCUUAAAACAUGCAAGUCGAGCGGAGCGGCGCACGGGUGAGUAACGCGUGAGUAACUGCCCCCCUCUCUGGGAUAACAGUUGGAAACGGCUGCUAAUACCGGAUAGUGGGGGAUGACUCGCGUCCUCUCAGCUUGUUGGUGGGGUAGUGGCCUACCACAGCGACGACGGGUAGCCGGCCUGGGAGGGCGACCGGCCACAUUAGGCUGAGAUACGGCCCGAACUACUACGGGGGGCAGCAGUGGGGAAUAUUGCACAAGGGGGGAAACCCUGAUGCAGCAACGCGCGGGCGGGAUGACGGCCUUCGGGUUGUAAACCGCUUUCAGCCAUGACGCGGUAGUGGCAGAAGAAGCACCGGCUAAAUACGUGCCAGCAGCCGCGGUAAGUC